UACGGAAGGCAGCAGGGGGAAUAUUGCACAAUGGGCGCAAGCCUGAUGCAGCCAUGCCGCGUGUAUGAAGAAGGCCUUCGGGUUGUAAAGUACUUUCAGUCGUGAGGAAGGUGUUAAGGUUAAUAACCUUAGCAAUUGACGUUAGCGACAGAAGAAGCACCGGCUAACUCCGUGCCAGCAGCCGCGGUAAUACGGAGGGUGCGAGCGUUAAUCGGAAUUACUGGGCGUAAAGGGCACGCAGGCGGUUAAUUAAGUUGGAUGUGAAAUCCCCGGGCUUAACCUGGGAAUGGCACUCAAGACUGGUUAGCUAGAGUCUUGUAGAGGGGGUAGAAUUCCAUGUGUAGCGGUGAAAUGCGUAGAGAUGUGGAGGAAUACCGGUGGCGAAGGCGGCCCCUGGACAAAGACUGACGCUCAUGUGCGAAAGCGUGGGGAGCAAAC
Molecule: ribosomal RNA, 438 nt
Filed under: uncultured bacterium
Lineage: Bacteria
Description: bacterial SSU rRNA
Rfam family: Bacterial small subunit ribosomal RNA
Source: RNAcentral